RNAcentral lists this ribosomal RNA (400 nucleotides) under phytoplankton environmental sample. RNAcentral describes it as "partial small subunit ribosomal RNA". It matches the Rfam family "Eukaryotic small subunit ribosomal RNA", at positions 587 to 992 of the family's 1831-position model. The record is from RNAcentral.
AGCUCCAAUAGCGUAUAUUAAAGUUGUUGCGGUUAAAAAGCUCGUAGUUGGAUUUCUGCUGGGGACAACUGGUCUGCCUACUGGGUAAGUAUUUGUGUGUCUCAAGCAUGUUCUUGGAUGGCACUUCUGCACUUGACUGUGUGGUGUGAUCUCCAAGGUUGUUACUUUGAGGAAAUCAGAGUGCUUCCAGCAGGCAAAUGUUUUGAAUACAUUAGCAUGGAAUAAUAAGAUGAGACUUCGGUUUUAUUUUGUUGGUUUUUAAAAGUGAAGUAAUGAUUGACAGGGAUAGUUAGGGGCAUUUGUAUUCAACUGUCAGAGGUGAAAUUCUUGGAUUUGUUAAAGACAAACAACUGCGAAAGCAUUUGCCAAGGAUGUUUUUUUUGAUCAAGAACGAAAGUAC